RNAcentral lists this non-coding RNA (47 nucleotides) under Echinostoma caproni. The record is from RNAcentral. Lineage: Eukaryota; Metazoa; Platyhelminthes; Trematoda; Plagiorchiida; Echinostomatidae.
GCGCUGCUGACGAGUCCCAAGCAGGACGAAACAGCUCUGUCCAGUGC